RNAcentral lists this ribosomal RNA (433 nucleotides) under uncultured bacterium. RNAcentral's name for it is "partial 16S ribosomal RNA". It matches the Rfam family "Bacterial small subunit ribosomal RNA", at positions 29 to 507 of the family's 1533-position model. The record is from RNAcentral.
AACGAACGCUGGCGGCAGGCCUAACACAUGCAAGUCGAGCGAGCAUUUCGGUGCUAGCGGCGGACGGGUGAGUAACGCGUGGGAACGUACCCUUUUCUGCGGAAUAGUCCUGGGAAACUGGGGGUAAUACCGCAUACGCCCUUUUGGGGAAAGAUUUAUCGGAGAAGGAUCGGCCCGCGUUGGAUUAGGUAGUUGGUGGGGUAAUGGCCCACCAAGCCGACGAUCCAUAGCUGGUUUGAGAGGAUGAUCAGCCACACUGGGACUGAGACACGGCCCAGACUCCUACGGGAAGCAGCAGUGGGGAAUCUUAGACAAUGGGGGCAACCCUGAUCUAGCCAUGCCGCGUGAGUGAUGAAGGCCUUAGGGUUGUAAAGCUCUUUCAGCUGGGAAGAUAAUGACGGUACCAGCAGAAGAAGCCCCGGCUAACUCCGUG